Molecule: ribosomal RNA, 388 nt
Filed under: uncultured bacterium
Lineage: Bacteria
Description: partial 16S ribosomal RNA
Rfam family: Bacterial small subunit ribosomal RNA
Source: RNAcentral
AUACAUAGGGGGCGAGCGUUAUCCGGAUUUAUUGGGCGUAAAGGGUGCGUAGGCGGUAAAUUAAGUCUAAGGUUAAAGUGCAGGGCUCAACCAUGUGAUGCCUUAGAAACUGGUUUACUUGAGUUUGGUAGAGGUAAGUGGAACUACUUGUGUAGCGGUAAAAUGCGUAAAUAUAUGGAAGAACACCAGUAGCGAAGGCGGCUUACUGGGCCACAACUGACGCUGAGGCACGAAAGCGUGGGGAGCAAACAGGAUUAGAUACCCUGGUAGUCCACGCUGUAAACGAUGAAUACUAAGUGUUGGAAAAAUCCAGUGCUGAAGUUAACGCAUUAAGUAUUCCGCCUGAGUAGUACGUACGCAAGUAUGAAACUCAAAUGAAUUGACGGGG